CGCCCCAUCGUCUAGCGGUCAGGAUGUCUGGUUCUCAACCAGAAGACGAGAGUUCAAUUCUCUCUGGGGUGAC
Molecule: transfer RNA, 73 nt
Filed under: compost metagenome
Description: tRNA-Glu
Rfam family: tRNA
About the family: Transfer RNA (tRNA) molecules are approximately 80 nucleotides in length.
Source: RNAcentral